Long non-coding RNA from Erigeron canadensis, 1135 nucleotides. RefSeq lists it as uncharacterized. NCBI's taxonomy places the organism in Eukaryota, Viridiplantae, Streptophyta, Magnoliopsida, Asterales, Asteraceae. The record is from RefSeq and is a predicted model, not a curated record. The transcript is spliced from 2 exons.
UCCUUCACGUUUUGAUUUCCACUCAUUUUGCGAAGAAAUGAAGAGAAAUUGGUUAUAAUUUAAAAAAAAAAAAAGAGUAUAUAUUGUAAAUCACGUGACAUGCACAUUCAAUAUAGAUCUGAGAGAGCCCUAAUCCCCUUUUGUCUCCGACGAUAUCUCGAGAUUCUUUUCAUCUCAUCUAAUUUCAUGGUUGUUUGCUUUGGAUCUCCUUAAAUUGGAGGUGAUUGAUGAUGAUUGUCUUAGUCAAACCCGACAUCCGGUUUGUGUGUUGAUAUAAUCGUAGUUCAUCAAUAACAUCCCCCCUAUAAAGGUGUGUAAAGAGUUGUGCAAUUGAUCAUGAAUCUCAACACAAGAUCAAAUUUAAUGUUAAUAUUGUAAGUGGUCUUCUUGCACAAACUAUGUUGUUGCAGUUGUUUGUUUUGCAUCCUAAUGACCGUUCUUGCUUAAGUUCCGACUUGCUGUUAGUAGUAGUAGUAGGUUUUGUUUGGUCUAUGAUUAUUCUCCAAGUGGGAGUUUCGAAGACGCCAUGAGGAUGAGGACGGAUGAUGAUAACAACGGAUUAUUGAUGUUGUAUAUGGGUUGGGAUGCACGGCUACAAAUUGCGAUUGGGAGGUGGUUUAGACAGCUUGUAGAAACAUGGGAAGCUCGUGAGGCUCUUGAUAAGAGUCUUUUGCGACAAGAAAUGGAGGAAGAUGAGAUGUUGAUGGCUGUAUGGCACUUUGUCUCUCUCUGAUAUGCCUACUGAUCGCCCUUUCCAGCAAUGAACUUGUUCCGAUGCUCACCAACUCCAUAGUUUUUGAUACACAGCUGCCUGCGGCGCAAUUUGUAUUACCAUUACUCCUUACACUUUGUCUCUCUGAUAUGUAUUUUGUUCAGAGUUAUUGUUGUAUAUUUUGGAGGUUAUCAUGGAAGUUCAUUUUCAUUUUGAUAGUUUGAUGGUUUAAGGAAAAUGGAAGGUGAUGUGUAGUUUGAUGAGGUUGAUAGUUCGAAUGUAAUUGGUCGCAAAAGUUCAAGUUCGAAAUUGUAUUCGUGUUGUGCAUUUUGUUUUGUAUACAAUUAGCCAUGAGAGAUCAUUAUCAUGUGUGUCAAUAUUUGGUAUUGCAAUUGCAAUACGUAUUACUGUAGUAGUAUUGUA